GAUGAACGCUGGCGGCGUGCCUAAUACAUGCAAGUCGAGCGAACAGACGAGGAGCUUGCUCCUCUGACGUUAGCGGCGGACGGGUGAGUAACACGUGGAUAACCUACCUAUAAGACUGGGAUAACUUCGGGAAACCGGAGCUAAUACCGGAUAAUAUAUUGAACCGCAUGGUUCAAUAGUGAAAGACGGUUUUGCUGUCACUUAUAGAUGGAUCCGCGCCGCAUUAGCUAGUUGGUAAGGUAACGGCUUACCAAGGCAACGAUGCGUAGCCGACCUGAGAGGGUGAUCGGCCACAGUGGAACAGAGGGAGGGUCCAGCCUCAUACGGGAAGCAGCAGUAGGGAGGAUGCCGGGGUGGGAGAAAGCGGGCUGGUACAAUGCCUCGUGUGUGAUGAAGGAAUUCGGAGGGUAAAACUCUGUUAGUAGGGAAGGACAAUUGUGGAAGGAACGGUGCACGUCUUGACGGGACCUGAGGAGAAAGCAACGGCUCACUACGUG
Molecule: ribosomal RNA, 497 nt
Filed under: uncultured bacterium
Lineage: Bacteria
Description: partial 16S ribosomal RNA
Rfam family: Bacterial small subunit ribosomal RNA
Source: RNAcentral